RNAcentral lists this long non-coding RNA (667 nucleotides) under Marmota monax (woodchuck). Lineage: Eukaryota; Metazoa; Chordata; Mammalia; Rodentia; Sciuridae. The record is from RNAcentral.
UAUAGGUGAAAAUGGUGAUCCCAAAGCCUUCUUAAUAGAGAUUUCCUGGACAGAAACAUAUCCCCAAACACCUCCAAUUAUAUCUAUGAACGCUUUUUUUUUUUUUUAACAACACCAUAUCAUCAGCUGUAAAGCAGAGUUAUAGGAAGUUACAGGAAGCUGUGGAAGUGAAUCUUGGAACUGCUAUGACCUAUACAUUGUUUGAAUAUGCCAAAGACAAUAAAGAGCAGUUCAUGGAGAAUCAUUGUCCCACUGAUUCUACAAUGUCUAAAAGCAAUAUCAUCUCUGUUGAAACUCCUAAUACAGCUCCAUCAAAUAAGAAAAAUGACAAAAAAAGGACAACUUUCUAAAGCCCAGAAACGUAAACUGGCAGACAAAACAGAUCAUAAAGGGGAACUCCCUCGAGGCUGGAAUUGGGUUGAUGUCUUGAAGCUUUUAAGCAAAACUGGCUCUAAAGAUGAUGAAUAACACUUGGAAUUUGAGUCAAGGAAAGAGCAUCCUUUAAAAAGUAAACUGGGUUCAACAUCUUUCAUUAACUAUUUUCUGGUAUUGAGGUGACUUUUUAUAAAAUGUAGGUUUUUCGGUAUGUUUCUUACAUUAAAAAAUGUUGUCAGUGGAAAGUUCAUGAAAAGAUCUGGGUGUAUUACAUUAUUUUCACAAACUUGCC